This 465-nucleotide ribosomal RNA is filed under the name uncultured bacterium. Its description in RNAcentral is "partial 16S ribosomal RNA". It matches the Rfam family "Bacterial small subunit ribosomal RNA", at positions 338 to 795 of the family's 1533-position model. The record is from RNAcentral.
CCUACGGGAGGCAGCAGUGGGGAAUAUUGCGCAAUGGGCGAAAGCCUGACGCAGCGACGCCGCGUGAGGGAUGAAGGUCUUCGGAUCGUAAACCUCUGUCAGCAGGGAAGAACGGUCACUGUGCUAAUCAGCAGUGAAUUGACGGUACCUGCAAAGGAAGCACCGGCUAACUCCGUGCCAGCAGCCGCGGUAAUACGGAGGGUGCGAGCGUUAAUCGGAAUUACUGGGCGUAAAGCGCUCGUAGGCGGUAUGUCAAGUCAAGGGUGAAAUCCCCGCGCUCAACGUGGGAACUGCCUUUGAAACUGGCAAACUGGAGUGUGUGAGAGGAUAGUGGAAUUCUAGGUGUAGGAGUGAAAUCCGUAGAUAUCUGGAGGAACAUCAGUGGCGAAGGCGACUAUCUGGAACAUAACUGACGCUGAGGAGCGAAAGCGUGGGUAGCAAACAGGAUUAGAUACCCUAGUAGUC